RNAcentral lists this transfer RNA (74 nucleotides) under Pythium insidiosum. Its description in RNAcentral is "tRNA-Gly". The record is from RNAcentral. Lineage: Eukaryota; Oomycota; Peronosporomycetes; Pythiales; Pythiaceae.
CACCUCGUAGCUCAGAUGGUAGAGCACCCGAUUUCCGAUCACUUGGUCGCGGGUUCGAUUCCGGGUGUGGACGA